This 510-nucleotide ribosomal RNA is filed under the name uncultured bacterium. Its description in RNAcentral is "partial 16S ribosomal RNA". It matches the Rfam family "Bacterial small subunit ribosomal RNA", at positions 28 to 507 of the family's 1533-position model. The record is from RNAcentral.
GACGAACGCUGGCGGCGUGCUUAACACAUGCAAGUCGAACGAAGAGCGAUGGAAGCUUGCUUCUAUCAAUCUUAGUGGCGCACGGGUGAGUAACGCGUAAUCAACCUGCCCUUCAGAGGGGGACAACAGUUGGAAACGACUGCUAAUACCGCAUACGAUCUAAUCUCGGCAUCGAGGAUAGAUGAAAGGUGGCCUCUACAUGUAAGCUAUCACUGAAGGAGGGGAUUGCGUCUGAUUAGCUAGUUGGAGGGGUAACGGCCCACCAAGGCGAUGAUCAGUAGCCGGUCUGAGAGGAUGAACGGCCACAUUGGGACUGAGACACGGCCCAGACUCCUACGGGAGGCAGCAGUGGGGAAUCUUCCGCAAUGGACGAAAGUCUGACGGAGCAACGCCGCGUGAGUGAGGACGGCCUUCGGGUUGUAAAGCUCUGUUAAUCGGGACGAAAGGCCUUCUUGCGAAUAGUGAGAAGGAUUGACGGUACCGGAAGAGAAAGCCACGGCUAACUACGUG